GAUGAACGCUAGCUACAGGCUUAACACAUGCAAGUCGAGGGGAAACAAUAUUGGAAGCUUGCUUCCGAUAGGCGUCGACCGGCGCACGGGUGAGUAACGCGUAUCCAACCUGCCCACCACUUGGGGAUAACCUUGCGAAAGUAAGACUAAUACCCAAUGAUAUCUCUAGAAGACAUCUGAAAGAGAUUAAAGAUUUAUCGGUGAUGGAUGGGGAUGCGUCUGAUUAGCUGGUUGGCGGGGUAACGGCCCACCAAGGCGACGAUCAGUAGGGGUUCUGAGAGGAAGGUCCCCCACAUUGGAACUGAGACACGUUCCAAACUCCUACUGGAGGCAGCAGUGAGGAAUAUUGGUCAAUGGACGAGAGUCUGAACCAGCCAAGUAGCGUGGAGGAUGACGGCCCUAUGGGUUGUAAACCGCUUUUAUAAGGGAAUAAAGUGAGCCUCGUGAGGCUUUUUGCAUGUACCUUAUGAAUAAGGACCGGCUAAUUCCGUGCCAGCAGCCGCCGUAA
This 508-nucleotide ribosomal RNA is filed under the name uncultured bacterium. Its description in RNAcentral is "partial 16S ribosomal RNA". It matches the Rfam family "Bacterial small subunit ribosomal RNA", at positions 28 to 523 of the family's 1533-position model. The record is from RNAcentral.